Molecule: ribosomal RNA, 1013 nt
Filed under: Euborellia plebeja
Lineage: Eukaryota; Metazoa; Arthropoda; Insecta; Dermaptera; Anisolabididae
Description: bacterial SSU rRNA
Rfam family: Eukaryotic small subunit ribosomal RNA
Source: RNAcentral
GAUUAGCCAUGCAUGUCUCAGUGCAAGCCAAAUUAAGGUGAAACCGCAAAUGGCUCAUUAAAUCAGUUAUGGUUCAUUAGAUGAUACACCACAUUACUUGGAUAACUGUGGUAAUUCUAGAGCUAAUACAUGCAAACUGAGUGCCAACCGGUGACGGUAGGUACGCUUUUAUUAGAUCAAAACCAAUACGUUCGUUUCGGCGAACGAUCUCAUUGGUGACUCUGAAUAACUUUUUGAUGAUCGCAUGGUCCUUGUACCGGCGACAAAUCUUUCAAAUGUCUGCCUUAUCAACUGUCGAUGGUAGGCUCUGCGCCUACCAUGGUUGUAACGGGUGACGGGGAAUCAGGGUUCGAUUCCGGAGAGGGAGCCUGAGAAACGGCUACCACAUCCAAGGAAGGCAGCAGGCGCGCAAAUUACCCACUCCCGGCACGGGGAGGUAGUGACGAAAAAUAACGAUACGGGACUCAUCCGAGGCCCCGUAAUCGGAAUGAGCACACUUUAAAUACUUUAACAAGUAUCCAUUGGAGGGCAAGUCUGGUGCCAGCAGCCGCGGUAAUUCCAGCUCCAAUAGCGUAUAUUAAAGUUGUUGCGGUUAAAAAGCUCGUAGUUGGGAAUGUGUCCCGCACUGUCGGUGCGCCAUUUAUGGUGUUUACUGGCAUGCUGUGGGACGUCCUGCCGGUGGGAUUGUUGCCACCGUUUAGUGCGUUGUUUUUAUAUAAAAGUAACGUACGGCGGUUCAGUAACUUUCUCUUGUCACCCAUCGCGGUGCUCUUUACUGAGUGUCGUGGCGGGCCGGCACGUUUACUUUGAACAAAUUAGAGUGCUAAAAGCAGGCCUCAUGCCUGAAUAUUGUGUGCAUGGAAUAAUAGAAUAGGACCUCGGUUCUAUUUUGUUGGUUUUCUGGACCAGAGGUAAUGAUUAAGAGGAACGGACGGGGGCAUUCGUAUUGAGACGUUAGAGGUGAAAUUCUUGGAUCGUCUCAAGACGGACAGAAGCGAAAGCAUUUGCCAAGA